CCUACGGGUGGCAGCAGUGGGGAAUAUUGGGCAAUGGGCGCAAGCCUGACCCAGCAACGCCGCGUGAAGGAAGAAGGCUUUCGGGUUGUAAACUUCUUUUAAGAGGGAAGAGCAGAAGACGGUACCUCUUGAAUAAGCCACGGCUAACUACGUGCCAGCAGCCGCGGUAAUACGUAGGUGGCAAGCGUUAUCCGGAUUUACUGGGUGUAAAGGGAGCGCAGGCGGCACGGCAAGCCUGAUGUGAAAGCCCGCGGCCCAACCGCGGGACUGCAUUGGGAACUACCGGGCUGGAGUGCCGGAGAGGUAGGCGGAAUGCCUAGUGUAGCGGUGAAAUGCGUAGAUAUUAGGAGGAACACCAGUGGCGAAGGCGGCCUACUGGACGGUGACUGACGCUGAGGCUCGAAAGCGUGGGGAGCAAACAGGAUUAGAUACCCUUGUAGUC
RNAcentral lists this ribosomal RNA (442 nucleotides) under uncultured bacterium. RNAcentral's name for it is "partial 16S ribosomal RNA". It matches the Rfam family "Bacterial small subunit ribosomal RNA", at positions 338 to 795 of the family's 1533-position model. The record is from RNAcentral.